AGGUCUCCUUAGCUCUCAAGGUCUGGUCUUAUUUAUUUCUUCUUUUUACUUAAGAUGUUUGUUUUUCUCUUUUAUUGCUAAAGUUUAUUUCUUUUGCUUUAUUGUAGUGGUUUUCUUUUGUUGGAUCUUUCUUAAAUUUAGUUUUCAUUCUUCUUCAUCGCAUCUUUAGUUUAUAGGAAGAUUCAUUGAUCUUCGGCAAUCUUAAUGGAGGUUCGAGGGCAGCAUGGUUAUGUCACAAAUUGAUGUUGCUUGUUUAUUGUUUGAUGUUAUGCUUCAAAGAAAUGUUGGCUCUUGGUCGUUGCUUCUUUAAUUGUGUAAUUAACUUGAUGUUAUCAGAACAACUUUUUAUUGUGAAUUGAAAAGAUAUCCUUCAUGAGCCAGGCCUUAAUUAAGCUUCAAGAUUGUUUCAUUGUUGUCGAAUUGCAUUAAAUUUAACCAUGCAGAUGCAGGAUUAUAUAUUGUUAUGGCAUUGAUCAUUUUACUUGUGUUAUGCCCAUCUCAUCAAAAUUUCAGAUGUUUCAAGUCAUUCAAAAG
RNAcentral lists this unclassified non-coding RNA (534 nucleotides) under Hevea brasiliensis (rubber tree). The record is from RNAcentral. Lineage: Eukaryota; Viridiplantae; Streptophyta; Magnoliopsida; Malpighiales; Euphorbiaceae.